RNAcentral lists this unclassified non-coding RNA (662 nucleotides) under uncultured Bordetella sp. RNAcentral's name for it is "partial 16S-23S ribosomal RNA intergenic spacer". It matches the Rfam family "Bacterial small subunit ribosomal RNA", at positions 820 to 1498 of the family's 1533-position model. The record is from RNAcentral. Lineage: Bacteria; Pseudomonadati; Pseudomonadota; Betaproteobacteria; Burkholderiales; Alcaligenaceae.
UCACCCGGGGCCUUUGGUAGCGCAGCUAACGCGGGUGAAGUUGACCGCCUGGGGAGUACGGUCGCAAGAUUAAAACUCAAAGGAAUUGACGGGGACCCGCACAAGCGGUGGAUGAUGUGGAUUAAUUCGAUGCAACGCGAAAAACCUUACCUACCCUUGACAUGUCUGGAAUCCCGAAGAGAUUUGGGAGUGCUCGCAAGAGAACCGGAACACAGGUGCUGCAUGGCUGUCGUCAGCUCGUGUCGUGAGAUGUUGGGUUAAGUCCCGCAACGAGCGCAACCCUUGUCAUUAGUUGCUACGAAAGGGCACCUAAUGAGACUGCCGGUGACAAACCGGAGGAAGGUGGGGAUGACGUCAAGUUCCUCAUGGCCCUUAUGGGUAGGGCUUCACACGUCAUACAAUGGUCGGGACAGAGGGUCGCUAACCCGCGAGGGGGAGCUAAUCCCAGAAACCCGAUCGUAGUCCGAUCGCAGUCUGCAACUCGACUGCGUGAAGUCGGAAUCGCUAGUAAUCGCGGAUCAGCAUGUCGCGGUGAAUACGUUCUCGGUCUUGUACACACCGCCCGUCACACCAUGGAGGUUUACCAGAAGUAGUUAGCCUAACCGUAAGGAGGGCGAUUACCACGGUAGGAUUCAUGACUGGGGUGAAGUCGUAACAAGGCA